This is a long non-coding RNA of Syngnathus acus (greater pipefish), 1524 nucleotides long. RefSeq lists it as uncharacterized. NCBI's taxonomy places the organism in Eukaryota, Metazoa, Chordata, Actinopteri, Syngnathiformes, Syngnathidae. The transcript has 4 exons. The record is from RefSeq and is a predicted model, not a curated record.
AUAAACAGUAGCUGGAUAUGACAAAAGCGAACUUUUUUUUCAAGGGAGAUGCAAAUAGAAUCGAGAUGUGACACGAGAACAAAGCAAGGAAGAGGAAGACUGAUAGCUGGUGCCAGGCAGCUGGGCAGACAUGACAGCGAGAGGAGCAGGUGUACCAGAAAAGUAGUCCAAGAGGGAGUACAAAGAAAAGCUGAUCAGGUUAAUAGGGCAAGCACAGAGGAAUCUCGGGAAGUGGUUGUCAUGUCAACAAAGGUGUGACACUCUUCAGGAGCAGCUGUUGGCGUAGCAACACAAAGAGGCACAAAUGAACCGGGAGAGAAGCGCUGAUAAAGAGAGCGUGACAAGUCUGAGGAAGGCUCUGGAGCAUCUGGUCGGUCUGACAUGAAGCAGACGAGUUGAAGGAAACACUCAGACCAGAAUGUCAGGAGAGUGAAAUUCUGACUGCUGCCUUGUCUCAAGCUCAGCAGGAUCUUCUUGGGCUGCAGACCCUUGCACCUCAACUCUCCAUCUGGGUCUACUCCGCCACAAACUGCUGCCCAGGCUGAAAGUGAGCAACACUUUAAGAGGCAUCAAGCACAAGGUGCCUUUGGGGAAGGGCGGGUCACAAUGCAGCUCUUCACAUUGCGACUGGUUGACAUUUUCUUCGUGUUUCGCCCUUUCACUCACACACAUCCACAGAAAACAUCAUUAGGGCUGGAGUGGAGGAGCAUGAUGUCCCUCACUGUCUGUGGGCACAGACAAUGUCUGUUGUUGACAUUGUAUGUUGUUGACAUCAUUCACACUGAGAGACAGGCGUAAAGAAAGUGUGUGCGUCAAGGAACUAAUUUCCCUUCUCGAGGGCACACAUGGAAGCCUUUUGGUUUUCACUCCCUGCGAUCCCACUUUUCCACUCCAGCUGGGAGACAAUGCAUGGACGUACUGUCCCCACAGAGAGAAGGGGCCAUCAUGAUUUUGUCCACUCACUGCCUCCUAUGUGUGGUAGGAGUCACCAUAUUGAUGACAGGAUGGGGGAGGUUUAGUUCCAUUUAAAAUGGUUUCAAAAGAAAGCGCAAACUGAUGGUUUAUAAGGUAGUAAAAAAAAUCCAAGUAUCAGUUUUUACACAUGGAGAGAGCUUUACAUUGUCCACUCUUGAUUUAUUAUUUUAUUUUUUUACUUUGUACUAUUUUGUUUAUAUUUUCAGGGUAGUCCAGCUCUCCUCCACAAUCUAAUAGUAUGCUGCAUCAUUUCUGAAAAGCUAAUAAGGGCUACUUGAGGUUACAAAGUUUGUUUUGAUGCAAAAGUGACAGUCAUUAACCUUGUGCAUGACUUCCACUAGCUGUUGGCUGAUAAAAUUGUAUUCAAGGUUUACACAGUCACUUCUGAGUUAGUUUUUAAAAUUGGGUUUAUGUACCUUAAUAGUAGAUUCUUUAUGUCGGCUGGGAAUUUAUAAAAGAGUGUUCAACUGUUUUAAUGGGAUUCUGCAGUGGCACGUGCACCCCGUAAAACUGUCAUGGGAGAGCACAGAGGCUUCUAUCUAAAAAAAA